RNAcentral lists this ribosomal RNA (778 nucleotides) under uncultured bacterium. Its description in RNAcentral is "bacterial SSU rRNA". It matches the Rfam family "Bacterial small subunit ribosomal RNA", at positions 94 to 863 of the family's 1533-position model. The record is from RNAcentral.
AGCGGCGACGGGUGAGUAACACGUGGGUGACCUACCCCAGGAUUGGGGGAUAGCCUGUGGAAACACAGGGUAAUACCGCAUACGAUCCGCACACUGUGGUGAGCGGAUGAAAGGCGCGUUUGCGCCGAUCCUGGAUGGGCCCGCGGCCUAUUAGCUAGUUGGCGGGGUAACAGCCCACCAAGGCGACGAUAGGUAGCCGGCCUGAGAGGGUGAUCGGCCACACUGGAACUGAGACACGGUCCAGACUCCUACGGGAGGCAGCAGCUAAGAAUCUUCCGCAAUGGGCGAAAGCCUGACGGAGCGACGCCGCGUGGGUGAAGAAGGCGGAAACGUUGUAAAACCCUUUUCUGCGUGAGGAAUAAGGGGAGGAGGAAAUGCCUUCCUGAUGACGUUAGCGCAGGAAUAAGCCCCGGCCAAUUACGUGCCAGCAGCCGCGGUAACACGUAUGGGGCGAGCGUUGUUCGGAAUCAUUGGGCGUAAAGGGCGCGUAGGCGGCCACGCAAGUCUGGUGUGAAAGCCCACAGCUUAACUGUGGAGACGCGCUGGAAACUGUGUGGCUAGAGUUCAGGAGGGGAAGCUGGAAUUCCAGGUGUAGGGGUGAAAUCUGUAGAUAUCUGGAAGAACAUCAGUAGCGAAGGCGAGCUUCUGGCCAUGAACUGACGCUGAGGCGCGAAAGCGUGGGGAGCAAACAGGAUUAGAUACCCUGGUAGUCCACGCCGUAAACUAUGUGCACUAGGUGUCGGGUCAUUAAGGCUCGGUGCCGCAGCUAACGCGUUAA